GAGAGUCUGCAGGUCCAGUGACCAGCUUUAACCAGAUUCUUGUCCUGGAAACUUCCUGCAGGCAGCAGAGACAGCAGCUCUGAGGAAGGAAUGGGUCAGGACACCUCUGGAGAGCCAUGAACCUGUCCACCAGCAGCUCAGUCUCUCACCUCCAGAUGUGCGAGCAGCAGCCAGACAGAAGACACAGCAGCAGGACACCUGUCAGUGUGAUCGAGCUGCUUCCUGCUCGGCCUCUUUCUGCUCCUCCACCUUCAGACCACCUCCAGCCUGAAGCCAGAAGCAUCAAACCUGCCGUGGACCAGCCUGAGGAGCAGAGCGGAGAGGAGGAGGCCAUCUACCAGAACACACUGUUGGCCUGCAGCUACCAGGACCACAGCGAUGAUCCUCAGAGGUGCAGUGAGCUGAACGAUGCAGAGAGCAGUCUAGAAGGAGACUAUGACGUUUUACCCGUUAGAAACAACCUCACAGAGAGCAUCUAUGACGUACCGAGCUCUCUUCUGAGGAAGAUGCCUGAAGACAAAACAGAUGAGCAGCUGGAGGAAGAAUCGAGCUGGAAGGUGUCGUUUGAGGACAGCAGCAGCACAUUUAGCUCACAAUGCAUUUAACUCUUCCAUUCUUUGUACACAAGUUUCCGCUUAAUGCCUCCGAGUUUCAGGUUCGAGUCAGACAAACUGUAUUUAUGCAACAGAUACAACAAGUAAAUAACUCUUUUUUUGGACGUUGUUCAGCUUUUCUGCGUUUGACAACAAGCAAAACCACGACAGAGAGAUUCGACUGUGGGGUUUAUUUCAGCUUAUGUGAUCAUUUUUAACUAUGGAGGACACGCUGUACAGAAGAGUCUACAGAGAAGCACUGUGGCUCACAAUAACUUUCCAUGCCACAAGGUUCACUGCUGAAACGUUCACACCAUAAACAUCCAUAUUGCUGUUUCACACACUUUGGAUUUAAGGGGAAUGAUCUGAGCUUCAACCCUUCAUGGGUUUUAUGGAACAUAAAAAAAAAUACAGCAUCUCUUUUAUCGUUUCCUGCAGGCAAAUAGAAACUGCUAAUUCCUCGUGUUUUUGACAUGUUGCCUGAUAUAAUACACUAGAAAAAAACUGAGAUUAAAAUAUCACCUGAACAAUUAGAACAGGGCUGUCAAACAUGCGGUCUGCGGGCCAAAACCGGCCCUCCAGUGGGUCCGAUCCGGCCCACUUUGUAAAGUGUAAAAAUGACAGAGAAGACAUGAACUGUAGAUUGUAAAUUGGUGAAACUAUAAAUGACAAGUUGUUUUGAUCAUAAAGUAAAAUACUACGGUAGAUUGUUCAUUGUCCUUUUGUUGUUUUGUGCCUCGUUUUGUAAUAUUUUUGGUUUUUGUCUUUUGUCGUCUCAUGUUUUUGCCACUCUGUUUCUCACUUUUGUUGUUUUGUGUUUCCUUUUUGUCUCGCUUGUGUUUUUUGUCAUAUUUUUGUCAUUUUGUGUUUUGCUUUAUUCAUGGUUUUGUGUAUCAUUUUUGUGUUUUUUUUGUCUCACUUAUGUUGUCUAUUUUUUUGUUGUUUUGUUUCUUACUUUUGUCAUUUUCUGUCAAAUUUUUGGUGUUUGUCCAUUUUUUUGUUGCAUUGUAACUUUUUUGUCUAAUUUUUUGUCUUGUUUUGUUUUGCAUCAUUUGUCUCAUUUUUUGUCAUUUUGUUACUCGUUUUUGUCAUUUUGUGUCUCAUUUUUGCAAUAUUUUGUCGUCUGUUCUUUUUGGACUUUUUUGUCUGACUUUUGUCGUUUUGAUCAUAAAGUAAAAUACUACACUGGUCAAAAAAAUUAAAGGAACACUUUUUAAUCUAAGUAUUGCAUCAAGACAGUUAAACUUCUGGGAUACUGAUCUGGUCAAGUAAGUAAAAGAGGUGGUUUUUAGUCAGUUUCAGCUGCUUUGGUGUUCAUGAAAUGAACUGGUGCUCUGUGCUUUUCACAGAUGAGAGCAGGUUCAUCAUGAGCACAUGUGACAGACAUGAAAGGGUCUGGAGAAGCUGUGCAGAUCGUUCUGCUGCCUGUAGUAUUGUUCAGCAUGACCGGUUUGGUGAUGAGUCAGUGAUGGUCUGGGGAGACAUGUCCAUGGAGGGACACACAGACCUCUACAGGCUGGACAGCAGCACUCUGACUGCCAUUAGGUAUCAG
Long non-coding RNA from Amphiprion ocellaris (clown anemonefish), 2145 nucleotides. Lineage: Eukaryota; Metazoa; Chordata; Actinopteri; Pomacentridae. The record is from Ensembl.